Molecule: ribosomal RNA, 249 nt
Filed under: Vibrio parahaemolyticus
Lineage: Bacteria; Pseudomonadati; Pseudomonadota; Gammaproteobacteria; Vibrionales; Vibrionaceae
Description: partial 16S ribosomal RNA
Rfam family: Bacterial small subunit ribosomal RNA
Source: RNAcentral
GUGUGAAGAAGGCCUUCGGGUUGUAAAGCACUUUCAGUCGUGAGGAAGGCGGUGUAGUUAAUAGCUGCAUCGUUUGACGUUAGCGACAGAAGAAGCACCGGCUAACUCCGUGCCAGCAGCCGCGGUAAUACGGAGGGUGCGAGCGUUAAUCGGAAUUACUGGGCGUAAAGCGCAUGCAGGUGGUUUGUUAAGUCAGAUGUGAAAGCCCGGGGCUCAACCUCGGAAUUGCAUUUGAAACUGGCAGACUAG